Molecule: unclassified non-coding RNA, 1821 nt
Filed under: Leishmania donovani
Lineage: Eukaryota; Euglenozoa; Kinetoplastea; Trypanosomatida; Trypanosomatidae
Description: gene:LdHU3.17.0100(CDS-product:ADP-ribosylation_f actor-like_protein_1)
Source: RNAcentral
GUCUUUUCCGCGUGCUCCCCCUGCUUUUAGUCCUUACCGAGUUGCCGCUGCACUCUCGUUUUCACAUUUGCCUCGGCCCUCUUUGUGCCUCUCAUCUGUGCGUUACCUUCUUCUGUGAGGCCCUCGCAACUGGAGUUGAGCUCGGCAGUGGCCGCUCUCCUGCUUUAGUUGUUCGCUUUCCCCUGCCCACGUGAGUGCUUCGAUUGCGCUGUGUGCGCCCGCUCUUACCUUCGGGGAGGGGGAGGGGUUCUGGUGUUUAUUUUCUCGGCAUCGUCGCCCUCACAGGCCUUGGUAGUAUCACCAUUUGCGCAUCGGAAAAGUCAAUCGAGGGAGGCUGCGGACAUUCUUCGGUCCCUCCCUGGUAUCCUUCACCCUCUUUCACAUCUCUGUGCCGUUUCUGUUAUGGUCCGCGCCACACUUUCUUCGGGCCUGUUUCACCAAGCGCAACUCGCUGGCUUCACAUUACCAUUGGUGUCGGAGGAGUCGCGCUGUUACUCUCUCCCUCUUUUGCUAUUCUUGUUCGGCGCACAGUCCAGGUCACCGACACGCCCUUAAGGCGGGUACGAGUAGAACGCUGAUAUUCCGCACUAUGGGUGCGUGGCUGACAAGUCUGAAGCAGACACUUGGUCUGCUGCCAGCAGACCGCAAAAUUCGUGUCUUGAUGCUUGGCCUGGACAAUGCGGGAAAGACUUCAAUUCUCUAUCGGCUACAUCUUGGUGAUGUGGUUACCACCGUCCCCACUGUGGGAGUCAACUUAGAAACUCUUCAGUACAAGAAUAUCUCCUUCGAAGUGUGGGACCUUGGCGGCCAAACGGGUGUGCGACCGUACUGGCGUUGCUACUUCAGCGACACAGACGCCGUCAUCUACGUGGUGGACAGCACUGACAGGGAUCGCAUGGGCGUCGCCAAGCACGAACUGUACGCUCUCCUAGACGAGGACGAACUCAGAAAGAGUCUCUUGCUCAUAUUCGCCAACAAACAAGAUUUGCCGGACGCCGCCAGUGAGGUAGAGAUCGCCGAACAACUUGGUGUGUCGUCCAUUAUGAACCGUACGUGGACGAUUGUUAAAAGCAGUUCAAAAACAGGUGAUGGCCUGGUGGAGGGCAUGGACUGGCUCGUGGAGCGGCUUCGCGAGCAAGGGAUCGGUGCUUAGUGACCGCCUUGCCAACCCUCUCCCAGCUUCUCCGACUUCUCUAACUCCUGGCGACUUGCUCGUGUUACGGAUGGCUAGAGAACGUGCAAGGGGGAGAGAUGUAGGAAUGCGACCAUUAACGAUAUUUGAUGCUUGGCCUGUCUGUCUAUUUGUUAUGCCGGCGCUCGCCAUUGGAAGGGGGUGGGGUUGAUGAUGUGGGAGGCGUUCACAUCACACAUGCGGGAAAUGGGGGUUUGAUUCUCGCCGCGUGAGCUUCCUUCUCACUGCAUCGUAUAGCCACACUUCAAUCCCGGUUCUCUUGGUUGCGUGUACGUGGAGGCGUGUAUGUUUGCGACGAUGUUUUCCUCUCAUUUCAUGGUUGCGUGGUGAGUCUCAUUCGGCGUCUUCUUUCCAGCUGUAUAUCUGUGCGGCCCCGCGGAUGUGCAUGCCCGGCUGAGGUGUGCGUGUUUGUGCGUGCCGCUUUCUGUCUUUCUCCCUCAUUGACCGUGUGCCAUUAGCUCCUUGAUCGCACGCCGUCUACGCGCGCGCUGUUUCUCGGGCGCCUACGCUUCCCUCCAGCCCUACCGAACACGCUGAAUGGAGACAACGAUAGGCGCGACAGACGUGUCAAAGACGAUUUAGGCAGUGAAUGCACUCCGCUCUCUUUGUGUCCAUCAAGGCCGCCGAAA